GUACUUGAACACUCAGCAUGCAUACUAAAAAUGGAGUGAUCCCGAGAAGAUUAGCAUGGCAUGGACCCUUCACAAGGAUGACAUGCAAAUUCCACAUUUAGACAUAAAUUCU
Arvicola amphibius (Eurasian water vole) is the source of this 112-nucleotide small nuclear RNA. NCBI's taxonomy places the organism in Eukaryota, Metazoa, Chordata, Mammalia, Rodentia, Cricetidae. The record is from RefSeq and is a predicted model, not a curated record.